Molecule: non-coding RNA, 486 nt
Organism: Theobroma cacao (cacao)
Lineage: Eukaryota; Viridiplantae; Streptophyta; Magnoliopsida; Malvales; Malvaceae
Source: RefSeq, a predicted model, not a curated record
GGACCUUCAUUUGGACUCGAAUCGGUAAAAGCUCUGGUUCUUUAUGGUGUAUUAAAAAAGCAAAAAGCCUCCAACAUGCUUCAUAUGUUGACAAAUAUCUACAAUCCAAGUGAUGAAUACUUAUUGUCAUGGUGGAGCCAAAAGAGGAUGUACAUGCGGCAACCUUCGUUUUUGGAAUUCGAUGGUAUAAGUCUAUGGAGGAUGAGAGUUUAUAAUAAUUCAUUAGCUUUGAGAAGUUUCUAAGUUCUUUAAACGAUGGGAAAUGUAUCACUUAAUAUAAAAUAAACGACUAAAGGUGAUUAACAAUUGUUUAUCAGCCAUGGCAACACCAAAGUGUUUGUUCUUCAUUAAAUCAUCCAUUCGAUAAUGAAGUUUAAUAUUGAAAACUCUAGAUGUUAUAUCAGGCCUAUCUUCUGGUUUUUGGUUUGGUAUUAAGCUCAACACAGCUUGAAUUUCUUGCCAUUUAUAAUUAUAUGUGAAUGUGAU